This 497-nucleotide ribosomal RNA is filed under the name uncultured bacterium. RNAcentral describes it as "partial 16S ribosomal RNA". It matches the Rfam family "Bacterial small subunit ribosomal RNA", at positions 28 to 507 of the family's 1533-position model. The record is from RNAcentral.
GACGAACGCUGGCGGCGUGCCUAAUACAUGCAAGUAGAACGCUGAAGAGAGGAGCUUGCUCUUCUUGGAUGAGUCGCGAACGGGUGAGUAACGCGUAGGUAACCUGCCUUGUAGCGGGGGAUAACUAUUGGAAACGAUAGCUAAUACCGCAUAACAAUGGAUGACACAUGUCAUUUAUUUGAAAGGGGCAAUUGCUCCACUACAAGAUGGACCUGCGUUGUAUUAGCUAGUAGGUGAGGUAAUGGCUCACCUAGGCGACGAUACAUAGCCGACCUGAGAGGGUGAUCGGCCACACUGGGACUGAGACACGGCCCAGACUCCUACGGGAGGCAGCAGUAGGGAAUCUUCGGCAAUGGGGGCAACCCUGACCGAGCAACGCCGCGUGAGUGAAGAAGGUUUUCGGAUCGUAAAGCUCUGUUGUAAGUCAAGAACGAGUGUGAGAGUGGAAAGUUCACACUGUGACGGUAGCUUACCAGAAAGGGACGGCUAACUACGUG